Canis lupus familiaris (dog) is the source of this 1907-nucleotide long non-coding RNA. RefSeq lists it as uncharacterized. Lineage: Eukaryota; Metazoa; Chordata; Mammalia; Carnivora; Canidae. The transcript is spliced from 3 exons. The record is from RefSeq and is a predicted model, not a curated record.
UCAAAAGAAAAAGGCAGGCAAGGAUAUGGGUUUUUGUUUCUUCUUAAAUCACAUUAAUUGAAGCAACAGGUUUCCAUGUAUAAAAUUUAAAUCUACAGAAAUAUAGACACCAAAAAAAAAAAGUAUAUUCCCACGUCCAGAAAAACCAGCGACGUUCAAAGAUUUCUGAAAGAUAAAGGAGAUCCUGUUUGGAGAAGCUCUGCUUGGAAGAAAGAUGGCACCAAGGUUUUAGCCCAGGCCAGAAAAGAGAACAAACAGUUGUGUUUCCUGGGGAACAGCGUGGAUGGAAACAACACAUGACAUUCUGAAAUCCAUCUAACACAGAAAUAAUGGCCCUAUUACCAAGACCAAAGAAGUGAGCCAAGCCAUACACACGGGCAUAGAACUCGGAUUUGUAACCAGAUGCCCAGACUCCCAGCUUAAGAUGCAGGGUCACCAGAGCACAACCAGAGAGACCGGGAAGUCUGCUGUAUCACAGACCAGUCCAAGAAUGUAUCAAGCCAGUCCAAGAAUGUACUUAGGAGCAAUCCUGCUAUGAUGGGAGCUGGUCUCUCAUGAGGCCAUUGCUCUGGAUCCUGGAUAGUGUUUUAGAAUUAGCUAAGGGCAGCAAAGGUCACUGCCCAUCCCUUAGGGUUCGCGUCAACCACAUUCAGACUGAGCUGGAUUCCAAAACUACGUCUGGCCAGAACUGCAUCUGAGAAGCGCUACCCAGUAGAGCCCCAAAUAUUUAGUUCUCAAAGUUGACUGAAUGACUGAAUGAAUAAUACAACAUUCAAUCUAUUUACAAAAAUAAAUACAACAUGGAAACCAUCUGACUUCACAGUUGUUUGCGGAGUGCAGAUGGGCGCAAAGUGGGAUCUGAGCUGAUCACAGCUCAAACGGCCCAGCCAAGGCUUCACUAAGGGAAGUACAAAGACUGCGCAGAGAGCGUUGGGUCCAACUGCUGAAACCAUCCUUUAAAUGCAACUUGACUGUCUAGGAGAGGGUGAUGGCAACAAUAGCAUGCCAGGAAUUUCUGGAGGAACUAGACGAUGAGCUCCUACGGGGAGGGAAAGCUGUGUCUUAUCACUUUGUAUGCUUAGCAAGUAGCAUCAUACACAAAGCAAGGGCUCCCCUCUGUGUGCCCCCAACCCCCAGCCUAUGUUACAUGAAAGUGGAGGGAGUUUAACCCAAUGUGAUUCAGCAGAACUACAAAGAAGCUGCCUUCGAACAUUUGAGGGGCCUUCCCCUGGACAAUCAGAUUUCUCAUGUGUGGCUCCAGAGCACGAAAUGAGGAGUCUGAGUCUGUGGCUUUAACUUUACGAACACAGAGGGGUGGGCCGCACAGCAGAGCAGCAGGUGCCUACCUCCCCACUGGACACCCAAGCAGAACCCAUGACAACCUGUGCGUUCUGUGGAGGAAGGCCCCACAGCACGUGGGAGGUCAACCAAGGGGCCUCUCUGGUGCCAUCCAAUGGGCUCCAGGACUCGGACACUCUCCACUUGAACGUGAGAAAGGUAUGUCUGUUUAGAAAAUCCUUUUGGCAGACCGCUGUCAGUUUUUCUCAUUAGAUACCCACUCAGUGCUCCCUUGGUUUUUCUCCACAGUGUGGAUUCUUGAAAACAACGGAAAACACAGUUGCUUUUUUUUUAACUGAGUUUUAAAAUUUUUUACCAAACACAUAUUUUAUUUUUUUUUAAUUUAAGCAUAGUUGACACACAGUUUUAUAUGAGUUUUAGGGGUACAACAUAGUGCUUCAACAUUUGUGUAUGAAGUGAUAAAUCUAGCUACCAUCUGCCACCCUACAAAGCUGUUAUAUAUUAUUAACUGUAUUCCCUAUGGUAUACAUCAUACACCCAUGUCUUCUUUAUUUUAGGACUGCAAAUCUGUACCUUUCAAUCCCUUUCCUCUAUUUUUGCCCAUUUAC